RNAcentral lists this ribosomal RNA (253 nucleotides) under uncultured bacterium. RNAcentral's name for it is "partial 16S ribosomal RNA". It matches the Rfam family "Bacterial small subunit ribosomal RNA", at positions 524 to 776 of the family's 1533-position model. The record is from RNAcentral.
UACGUAGGGGGCUAGCGUUGUCCGGAAUCAUUGGGCGUAAAGCGCGUGUAGGCGGUCCGGUAAGUCCGCUGUGAAAGUCGAGGGCUCAACCCUCGAAUGCCGGUGGAUACUGUCGGGCUUGAGUACGGGAGAGGCGAGUGGAAUUCCUGGUGUAGCGGUGAAAUGCGCAGAUAUCAGGAGGAACACCGAUUGCGAAGGCAGCCCCCUGGGCCAACACUGACGCUCAGGCACGAAAGCGUGGGGAGCAAACAGG